This 870-nucleotide ribosomal RNA is filed under the name uncultured bacterium. RNAcentral describes it as "bacterial SSU rRNA". It matches the Rfam family "Bacterial small subunit ribosomal RNA", at positions 8 to 890 of the family's 1533-position model. The record is from RNAcentral.
AGAGUUUGAUCAUGGCUCAGAGCGAACGCUGGCGGCGUGCUUAACACAUGCAAGUCGAACGAGGUGUAGCAAUACACUUCGUGGCGAACGGGUGCGUAACACGUGGAUAACCUUCCUUGAGGUGGGGAAUAACCCAGUGAAAAUUGGGAUAAUACCGCAUAACAUGACGAUGCCACAUGGUGUUGUCUUCAAAGGCGCAAGUCGCCACAAGAGGGAUCCGCGGCCGAUUAGCUAGUUGGUGAGGUAAUGGCUCACCAAGGCAAUGAUCGGUAGCCGGACUGAGAGGUUGACCGGCCACACUGGAACUGAGACACGGUCCAGACUCCUACGGGAGGCAGCAGUGGGGAAUCUUGCACAAUGGGCGAAAGCCUGAUGCAGCAACGCCGCGUGGGGGAUGAAGCUUCUCGGAGUGUAAACCCCUUUCGACCCGGACGAAUGCCCGCAAGGGUUUGACGGUACGGGUAUAAGAAGCCCCGGCUAACUACGUGCCAGCAGCCGCGGUAAGACGUAGGGGGCCAGCGUUGCUCGGAAUUACUGGGCGUAAAGGGUCCGUAGGCGGUGCGGUAAGUUGGGAGUGAAAUCUCUGGGCUUAACUCAGAGGCUGCUUCCAAUACUACCGUGCUCGAGUGCGAGAGAGGCAAGUGGAAUUGCGGGUGUAGCGGUGAAAUGCGUAGAUAUCCGCAGGAACAUCCGAGGCGAAAGCGGCUUGCUGGAUCGCAACUGACGCUGAGGGACGAAAGCUAGGGGAGCAAACAGGAUUAGAUACCCUGGUAGUCCUAGCCCUAAACCAUCAGGACUUGGGGUUUGCCCUGUACGGGGCAAGUCCCGUAGCUAACGCGUUAAGUCCUGCGCCUGGGGAGUACGGUCGCA